AAAUUGGUCUCUUUAGAGACCAUUUUUAUUUCAAGAAUCUUGUGGU
Molecule: non-coding RNA, 46 nt
Organism: Capsella rubella
Lineage: Eukaryota; Viridiplantae; Streptophyta; Magnoliopsida; Brassicales; Brassicaceae
Source: Rfam